ACUUUUAUAUUUUGGAUAUCUUUCUCAGGUAUGUCCUGGUGUUUUCCUUUGUAGAUGAAUACUUAUACUAGUAUCAAAUGUUUUAGAAAAACAGCUUUUGCUUACAUAAUAUUAGAGCAUCAUGUUUACAUUGUGAACUUUUAUUUAAGGCCAAAUUGUAGACAUAGGAAUGGGCCGGAGGAACAAGCCAAGGGCAACAAGACCAGAAAUAGGUGAUAAAUUGGUAACACCUGACCCUCAUCCAAUGGUUGUGGGAGCAGUGAAAUGUGUACUACCCAGGAAGACUGCCUUAAACUUACAUAAGGCUUGUGAAGUAACCACAAACAUCCGAAGUCCUGUCUCCAAUACGUAUGAGAGAUUAGAUAAUAGAGUGGUGAAAAUCUGUGUCAAUCUAUGGCCUGUCCUGGCUUCAGCCAAAGAGCCUGUAGAGGAAAGCAGUAGUUCGCUGGAUGAAGAGGAACCUGGGACCAGCACAGAUACAAGGACCUUCAACACAUCAAAGUCUGGUGAGCAGUGUCCGAGAGACCAAGAAAGGAGACCCCAUGUUAGACAAGAAUUGGACAGGGCUAAAGCAAGCUGUCUAGUGAAGCCUAUUUUACUACCACCCAUAAGUAAAAUAUCCCUUACAACACGACUAGCACAUUCAGAGUGCAUGGGAAUGCAAGUGCCACACACAUCUCUGCCACAGAUAUGUGUAUCAGACCAAGAUGCCUUGGUCAAAUCCUCCAAGGGGACAAAAGCCAUUGAGAAUAAGGCACCAUUUCCCAUGAUCCUAUUGCAGAAGACCAGCCAUUUGAUGGACAGCACCAUUAUCUCCCAAUGUAGGUCUACCCAGGUUCACCUCCCUGAGAUAUCAGUGUCCAGUAUAGAAGGCCUGCUUCAGAGAGUUGCAGAGCGAGUGGGAAGGAGAGAGAGCGAUGAGACAUCGGGACUGACCAAUCCUGAUCAUCUUCUCAUGGCUGGCGCGCUGCGAGACAUGAGAGAGAAGAGGCUCCAGCAUCGGGAGACUAUAGCUCAGAGGGAGCGGUAAGAUGUCCAGAGGUCAAGCCAAUCGGUGGACAGAAAGGGACCACUCUAGUAACAGAGAAUGGAAUGCAGAACCCUGCCUCCCUCUGCAAUAAAACCAAACUGCCUGUCAUCCUUAGUAUGACCAAAGGAAGCCUUUGAACAUGGAUGAAUCACCAUCAACAAUAGAUAAAUUGUACAUGUUAAUAAAGUUGUUAGAACAAAAUACCCAAGAUAGACGUAUCCCCAUUAAGGUUUAUUACUAUAUGUUCUGUAUACAUCUAGUUAUAUGUACACAUAAAUAAUCAUACACAUAAUCAAGUAUGAAUGUUCAAGCAUAAUAUAGUACGUCAUAAGACCAUACAUUCAAUUGUAUGUAUAGAUAUUCUACACAUGCCUAUCAGUUAUUGUAUCUUUCCAAUACAUCAGACUGCAGUACAGCACAGUAGUAAACUGCUUUGGAUUUACAGCUACAUUGUUUUUUCAAGUUCCAUACAGUAUAACGAGCCCAAUUAAAAACAGAUUUUAAAAAACGAUAAAAACAGUUUACCUAAUGAAGGCAGUGUUUGGAGUCUGGUAUGCAGUCUGGUAACUGCGCAUCUCAAUGUUGUGCCAGUGCAAAUAAACCAUGUUUUUAGCAUCAAAUAAUAAAUGUGACUGGACAUAAGAAAAAAAUAUAUUUUUCUCUCUGUGCAAAACAUGAGACCAAUGUGAAAAGAUAUUGAUGAUUUUGUUGCCCUGAACAUCUUCAGUGAUAAUGUAACAAUCAUUAUGUGCAGCAUUUCUCAGUUAAAGUGCUUUAGGCAAAAUGCAAAGAUAUUGAAAGACUCGAUGAUUGACCCAUGAUGAAUACCACUAUUCCAUCAUUAA
Oncorhynchus nerka (sockeye salmon) is the source of this 1875-nucleotide long non-coding RNA. RefSeq lists it as uncharacterized. Lineage: Eukaryota; Metazoa; Chordata; Actinopteri; Salmoniformes; Salmonidae. The transcript is spliced from 3 exons. The record is from RefSeq and is a predicted model, not a curated record.